CGGAGGGUGCAAGCGUUAUCCGGAUUCACUGGGUUUAAAGGGUGCGUAGGUGGGUUGGUAAGUCAGUGGUGAAAUCUCCAGGCUUAACUUGGAAACUGCCAUUGAUACUAUCAAUCUUGAAUACCGUGGAGGUCAGCGGAAUAUGUCAUGUAGCGGUGAAAUGCUUAGAUAUGACAUAGAACACCAAUUGCGAAGGCAGCUGGCUACACGAAUAUCGACACUGAUGCACGAAAGCGUGGGGAUCAAACAGGAUUAGAUACCCUGGUAGUCCACGCCCUAAACGAUGGAUACUCGACAUACGCGAUAUACUGUGUGUGUCUGAGCGAAAGCAUUAAGUAUCCCACCUGGGAAGUACGAUCGCAAGAUUG
This 368-nucleotide ribosomal RNA is filed under the name uncultured organism. RNAcentral describes it as "bacterial SSU rRNA". It matches the Rfam family "Bacterial small subunit ribosomal RNA", at positions 526 to 896 of the family's 1533-position model. The record is from RNAcentral.